This is a long non-coding RNA of Alligator mississippiensis (American alligator), 2789 nucleotides long. RefSeq lists it as uncharacterized. The transcript has 2 exons. Lineage: Eukaryota; Metazoa; Chordata; Crocodylia; Alligatoridae. The record is from RefSeq and is a predicted model, not a curated record.
UGCGGCAGCAAGGAACCAGCACCUGCCUGCUGCUCCCCCAGUGAGCUUCCUGUGACUCCGUCGCGCUCCCUGGCCAGGCCCCAAAGCUGCACAUUCACAACCAGGGCCCAGGAACCAUCUUGGCUGGUCAGCACCCCCAGCCACAGCUGCCAACCCUGCCUCACUCUCUCCCUCACCCUGGAGGCCUCAGUCUUCGCCUUCCACCCCCGCUGGCCCCAUAGAUUUACCUGCAGGCAGCUGGGGGAACUGCUCUCACCAUUGCCUGGCUGCAUUUCUGGGCAUGUGUAUGUGUACGCAUGCACACAUACAUGUGGCGCCCCCUGCAUCCCACUCUCCCCAGCCUCAAGCAGCCCCUUGGAAGCUGGAACUCUGCCAGCCUGCAAGGGGAAACCGACCAUUUACUGUGGUUUUCUUCUUCAAAGGAGAAAAUCCAUGUUUUUCCAUGGUGAAUGGAAAACCCAGAUCCCUGCACAUGAUACUGGGACAAUAGUUGAGUGUGUCAAGGGGAAUCUGGGACAAAUGCUGUACCAGAGUCAUUCACCCUGGGACUGGGACUUGAUGUUUAUAUUUUGGGACUGUCCUGCCCAAUUAGGGAUGGGUGGUCACCCUAGCAAAAGCCUGUGCAUGCCACUUACUAUUUUGAUUCUAGUUAAAACCCAGGACAGUCAGGAUUAUCUCAAAUGAGUCUUCUGUCUAUAGCCUUGGUGUAAUAAAUAUGCAGGGGAGAGGUGUAAAAACGUAGUUAAUUACAUAGUUUAGAUUUGCCAAGAGUGUGUUAGAUUUAGCUUCUUUCAUUCAUUCCUGUAAGAGGUGUUCCCUUGAAACACAAUGAAGUCAAAGCAGUAAUGGGUGUGUUUUGUAUCUGGCACGUUUUACAAAGCCAAAGCUCUAGGGUCCUUGCAUGCUUACAGUAUUUUGCAUUGCAGUUGUCAUAUUGCAGGUAGGUAUUACUGAGGAUCCCAAAAAUAGUUGCUAUGACAUUGCUUAUUCUGUGGGCAAAGAGAAGUUGGUUAUCUCUUAACAUGAAAUAUAACUUGUUACUUCCUCAAAAAUCUUGCUAUAUUCUCUUGCAAUCUUUUCUCAAGGGAAUCCAUGGGGCCCAGCUGAAUUUCACAGUUAUUUUACACCAGCAGAAGAGACUGGUACAAAGUCUGUGCAAAUGGAACAAAGUGGAGACUGGAAUGCUACUGAUUAAAUUUUUGAACUGCUGACUCUAUUGUCCAUACUAAAUUCUUUUGACCACUCUUAUUUAGAUAUAGUAGAUCUAAUAAACUGUAUGUAUACCUAGACCUAAUAAAAAGCAUCCAAAUUGAAAAUAAUAAAAUGUAUUAAACAUAUCUUUCCAACAAAGACCUGACAGACAAAUCAUCAUCAUUGUAAACCACCUUGGGCCGGAUAUAAAUUUAAUAAAUAGAUACAGUCUAACACUUUGCACUUCUACUACAUACAUACUCAUAUGCAUUUCAUCCUAGAAUCACAAAGGACUUUCUAAAGUAAUGUAUUUGGCUGUGUUUAGGCAUCCUCUGUUUAAAUGUCAUUACCUGGGUAUAAAACUGAACUGCUGGAAUUAUGUGUAUCCAAGAAAGUGCAAGGUAUAGCACCUAGAUUACCUUUAGACUCAUCUUUUAACUUAACUUGUAAGUCCGUGUUUUGCAGAAAUGGAUUGUUGGCUUUGCUGGCUGUGGUGCACUUUGUAGAAGAUGAGCAAAUUCCCAAUACACUGUACUCUACCUAAACCUCAGUUGGAUUGAUCUAUUUCUUUUGCUUUGUACUACAGCAAAAAUGCCAAACAGAUAUCAAGGCCCCAUUGUGCUUACAAAACAUGGGUUUUGCUAUCCAAACAUAAUAAGCAUCUUAGAAACCUAACAUGUUGGUAUAAAACUUAUGUGGUAAUCUGGCCAUUAUAUUGUAAUACUCUCUAAUUAUUUCAAAUGGUAUAAUAAUUUGAAGAUACAUUUGUUAAAAUUUCUGGGGUUGUUGUUUGUAGCCAUGUUGCUCUAAGGACAUAGACAGACAAGGUUCUUUGGGUAGAUGUGAUAUAUUUUAUUAGACCAACUAAAUAGUUUGAAAAAUUGCUCUUUGCAAGAUUUCAGGCACAAACACCCUUCUUCAGGCAUAAGGAGAACAACAUUUCUGGGUCUUUAAGUUCUGGGUCUUAAGUUCCUUCCUUUUAUGGGCAUUUUAAUAUAUGGUAAAUAUUAAUAGCCAUAUAAAGCAAACUUCAUUGUAGUUCUUCACAGGUGGCUGACUUGAUGUCAUCCUAUGUCAUAAUUAGCAGCCUUUUCAUUUUUAGCCUGAGUGCCAGUUCAGCUCACAAAUAUUGAUACUAUCCAAGACAGACUGGCUGUUUCCAGAAGAGCAGGUGCCACUUCAGCUGCAGAGAACUUGCAAGCCAGAAUCACAACAGGAAAUGGCAACUGUCAGACGCAGCAGGAGCAGGAGCAGGAAUUGCCACUGGAUGCGUGGAAGCAGGCGUCGUGGGGGGAGAUACAGAAGGAGGAGGAGGCAGCGAUAUGGCAGGAAGAGGAGAGGCCGCAGAAGUCAGUCAAGGAGAAGGAGGAGGAGGAGAGGGAGAUAUUAGGCUACAAAUGGAUUCCUGUGCCCAAAUUUGGCACAAAAUCCAAAAAGUUUUUAAAGUAAUUGGUCACCUUCUCCAACUUCAGCCAGAGCAAAAUCACAUCAACAUCGAAAAAGUCCUCCCAUCAAAACCCCAUCAGAGACUUUCCAAGACAUAAGGAGUCUGCUACUAUUUGACCCAUGCCUUCUGUCAAUAAACUCUUGGAAUGCCA